GGGGAUUUGGCUCAGUGGUAGAGCGCUUGUCUAGCAAGCACAAGGCCCUGGGUUCGGUCCCCAGCUCCG
Molecule: transfer RNA, 69 nt
Filed under: Rattus norvegicus (Norway rat)
Lineage: Eukaryota; Metazoa; Chordata; Mammalia; Rodentia; Muridae
Rfam family: tRNA
About the family: Transfer RNA (tRNA) molecules are approximately 80 nucleotides in length. Their secondary structure includes four short double-helical elements and three loops (D, anti-codon, and T loops). Further hydrogen bonds mediate the characteristic L-shaped molecular structure. tRNAs have two regions of fundamental functional importance: the anti-codon, which is responsible for specific mRNA codon recognition, and the 3' end, to which the tRNAs corresponding amino acid is attached (by aminoacyl-tRNA synthetases). tRNAs cope with the degeneracy of the genetic code in two manners: having more than one tRNA (with a specific anti-codon) for a particular amino acid; and 'wobble' base-pairing, i.e. permitting non-standard base-pairing at the 3rd anti-codon position.
Source: Rfam by way of RNAcentral